RNAcentral lists this long non-coding RNA (1894 nucleotides) under Anas zonorhyncha (Eastern spot-billed duck). RNAcentral's name for it is "lncRNA (ENSAZOG00000009984.1)". The record is from RNAcentral. Lineage: Eukaryota; Metazoa; Chordata; Aves; Anseriformes; Anatidae.
ACACGGCAGGCCCUACGUAAAUAAGGCAGACCCUACAUAAACACCACAGGCCCCAUGUAAACAAAGCAGGCCCUACAUAAACACGGGGUCUCCUGCAGACCCCACAUAAACACAGGAGACCCCACAUAAACACAGGGGGGGCUGCAGACCCUACAUAAACACCAGGGCCCCAUGUAAAUAAAGUAGGCCCUACAUAAACACGCCCCGCCGUUACCAGGGCUCCCGCGCGUACUCCUCCAUGGCCGCCUCGCCCCGCCCCCGACACGUGACCGCGCCCCCAUUGGCUGCGAGCAAGUCACGGGGCUCGACGGGAGGCUCCGAUUGGCCGCCGGCUGAUCACGUGGGCCGGGAGAGGUCAGCGAGGGGAGGGGCGGUUGCCAUGGUAACGGGGGGCGUGGCCUGUAAGGGAGCGGGGUUGCCAUGGUAACGGGGGGCGUGGUCGUGGUGGUUGCCAUGUCAACAGGGGGCGUGGCCUGUGUGGGGAGCGGAGUUACCAUGGUAACGGGGGCGUGGCCUGCGUUCAGCGGGACGGUUGCCAAGGCAACAGGGGGCGUGGUCUGCGCGGGGAGCAGUGGUUGCCAGGGCAACGUGGGCGUGGUUACGAAGCGCGCGACUUCCGGUUCCGCCGGAGGGCGGGACUUCCGCUUUGAGCCCGCCGCCUUCCGGGGCGGUUUCCAGGCGCUGCCGGGGCCUUGCGGGGCCGCCGCCGCCGCCGAGCGCCCGGGGCCCGGUCCCGGAGGCUCGAGGCCGAGGCGAUGCCGCUGCCCGUGGCCCUGCAGUCCCGGCUGGCCAAGCGGGGGCUGCUCAAGCACGUGGAGCCCGAGCCGGAGGAGGAGAUCAUCGCCGAGGACUACGACGACGCCCACGUGGACUACGAGGCCUCGCGGCUCGAGGGGCUGCUCCCCCCCUGGUACAAGGUCAUCGACCCCACCUGGUGAGAGCCCCGCCCCCAAGGGCGCUAUAGGGGCCAUAAGGACCCAUCCUGGGCGCUAUAGGGACCGUAAGGACCUGUCGUGGGCACUAUAGGGGCUGUCCCGGGCGCUAUAGGGGCCCUAAGGCCCUGUCCCAGGCACUAUAUGGGCAAUGAGGACCUGUCCUAGGUGCUAUAGGGGCCAUCCCGGAACCUAUAGGGGCUGUAGGGACCGUAAGGACCCGUCCUGGGCGCUAUAGGGGCUGUAAGGACCUGUCCUGGGUGCUAUAUGGGCAACGAGGACCUGUCCUGGGCACUAUAGGGGCCGUAAGGACCUGUCCUGGGUGCUAUAGGGGCCAUCCCAGGCACUACAGGGGCCCUAAGGACCCGUUCUGGGCACUAUAGGGGCCAUAAGGACCUGUCCUGGGUGCUAUAGGGGCCGUCCCGGGCGCUAUAGGGGCCAUAAGGACCCGUCCCAGGCACUAUAGGGGCCAUAAGGACCUGUCCUGGUCACUAUAGGGGCCAUAAGGACCUGUCCCAGGCGCUAUAGGGGCCGUAAGGACCUGUCCUGGGCGCUAUAGGGGCCGUCCCGGGCGCUAUAGGGGCCCUAAGGACCUGUCCCAGGCGCUAUUAGGGCCCUAAGGAUCUAUAGGGGCCACAGGACCCUUCCCAGUGCCCAUAAGGCCCCCUCUCAGGCCCUAUAGGAGCCAUAGGGACCCUUCCCAGGCCCUAUAGGGGCCAUAACGCCCCCCCCCGGGCCCUAUAGCAUCCANNNNNNNNNNAAGGACCUGUCCCAGGCGCUAUUAGGGCCCUAAGGAUCUAUAGGGGCCACAGGACCCUUCCCAGUGCCCAUAAGGCCCCCUCUCAGGCCCUAUAGGAGCCAUAGGGACCCUUCCCAGGCCCUAUAGGGGCCAUAACGCCCCCCCCCGGGCCCUAUAGCAUCCAUAACACCCCCCCCCGGGCCCUAUAGCCCCCAUAAUGCCC